RNAcentral lists this ribosomal RNA (416 nucleotides) under uncultured bacterium. RNAcentral describes it as "bacterial SSU rRNA". It matches the Rfam family "Bacterial small subunit ribosomal RNA", at positions 356 to 769 of the family's 1533-position model. The record is from RNAcentral.
AAGGAAUAUUGGACAAUGGAGGCAACUCUGAUCCAGCCAUGCCGCGUGAAGGAAUAAGGCCCUAUGGGUUGUAAACUUCUUUUAGACGGGACAAAACCCCUUUACGUGUAAAGGGUUGAUGGUACUGUCAGAAUAAGCAUCGGCUAACUUCGUGCCAGCAGCCGCGGUAAUACGAAGGAUGCAAGCGUUAUCCGGAAUUAUUGGGUUUAAAGGGUGCGUAGGCGGACUAAUAAGUCAGUGGUGAAAGCCUGCAGCUUAACUGCAGAAUUGCCAUUGAUACUGUUAGUCUUGAGUACAGUUGAGGUAGGCGGAAUGUGUCAUGUAGCGGUGAAAUGCUUAGAUAUUACACAGAACGCCGAUUGCGAAGGCAGCUUGCUAAGCUGUAACUGACGCUGAGGCACGAAAGCGUGGGGAGC